Molecule: small nuclear RNA, 161 nt
Filed under: Helianthus annuus (common sunflower)
Lineage: Eukaryota; Viridiplantae; Streptophyta; Magnoliopsida; Asterales; Asteraceae
Description: U1 spliceosomal RNA
Rfam family: U1 spliceosomal RNA
About the family: U1 is a small nuclear RNA (snRNA) component of the spliceosome (involved in pre-mRNA splicing).
Source: RNAcentral
UCACUUACCUGGAUGGUGUCAAUGGGCGAUCAAGAAGGUCCAUGGCCUAGGUUAGUGAUCUCCGUUGCACUUUGGAAUGGUGCCUGCCUAAGGUUGGCCCAAGUGGUCGAGCCUACAUCAUAAUUUGUGGCAGUGGAGGCCUGUGUCCGCGCGGCCCCUAC